AGUUGGUUUCCAAAAUUCAUAUUCAUUACGGAUGCCAUCAAUAGAUCCUAUAUUUUACAUGCUGUCCAAUACCCUUAUAUAUUUUAACCGAUUU
Long non-coding RNA from Maniola jurtina (meadow brown), 94 nucleotides. RefSeq lists it as uncharacterized. The transcript is spliced from 3 exons. The record is from RefSeq and is a predicted model, not a curated record. NCBI's taxonomy places the organism in Eukaryota, Metazoa, Arthropoda, Insecta, Lepidoptera, Nymphalidae.